RNAcentral lists this ribosomal RNA (710 nucleotides) under bacterium MS-AsV-14. Its description in RNAcentral is "bacterial SSU rRNA". It matches the Rfam family "Bacterial small subunit ribosomal RNA", at positions 110 to 819 of the family's 1533-position model. The record is from RNAcentral.
GGAAUACAUCGGAAUCUACCUUUUCGUGGGGGAUAACGUAGGGAAACUUACGCUAAUACCGCAUACGACCUACGGGUGAAAGUGGGGGACCGCAAGCCUCACGCGAUUAGAUGAGCCGAUGUCCGAUUAGCUAGUUGGCGGGGUAAUGGCCCACCAAGGCGACGAUCGGUAGCUGGUCUGAGAGGAUGAUCAGCCACACUGGAACUGAGACACGGUCCAGACUCCUACGGGAGGCAGCAGUGGGGAAUAUUGGACAAUGGGCGCAAGCCUGAUCCAGCCAUACCGCGUGGGUGAAGAAGGCCUUCGGGUUGUAAAGCCCUUUUGUUGGGAAAGAAAUCCUAUCGGUUAAUAACCGGUGGGGAUGACGGUACCCAAAGAAUAAGCACCGGCUAACUUCGUGCCAGCAGCCGCGGUAAUACGAAGGGUGCAAGCGUUACUCGGAAUUACUGGGCGUAAAGCGUGCGUAGGUGGUGGUUUAAGUCUGCUGUGAAAGCCUGGGCUCAACCUGGGAAUUGCAGUGGAUACUGGAUCACUAGAGUGUGGUAGAGGGAUGCGGAAUUUCUGGUGUAGCAGUGAAAUGCGUAGAGAUCAGAAGGAACAUCCGUGGCGAAGGCGGCAUCCUGGGCCAACACUGACACUGAGGCACGAAAGCGUGGGGAGCAAACAGGAUUAGAUACCUGGUAGUCCACGCCCUAAACGAUGCGAACUGG